Long non-coding RNA from Cebus imitator (Panamanian white-faced capuchin), 837 nucleotides. RefSeq lists it as uncharacterized. The transcript has 3 exons. The record is from RefSeq and is a predicted model, not a curated record. NCBI's taxonomy places the organism in Eukaryota, Metazoa, Chordata, Mammalia, Primates, Cebidae.
CGUGGCCGCUAGAUCGGAGCGUCCUCCAGCGCAGGCAAGACUUGCUCGUUUAGAGUUAUGUUAUCUUCAAGAAAAGGACCCCAGAGCUCGCUUUCCACCACGUAAGGAUGCAAGUACAAGAAGAUGGCAGACUGCAAAUUGGAAAAGGGCCCUCCUCAGAACCUGAUCAUCUUGGCACCUUGAUCUCAGACUUCCAUCUUCCAGAACUGUGAGAAAUACAUUUCUUUUAUAAACACCCAGUCAAUGAUACUUUAUGAUAGCAGCUUGAAUGGACUAAGACUGGUGGUCUGGUUUAAAGUGAUGUGGUGGCAUCAGAAGUUUAAGGUGAGACUGGAUUCACAGAACUGGAAUCUGGGAUGCUGUUGACAGAACAAAUAUUUCUUGCACUUGGACAUUGUCAGCAGGUCGAUUCAGGAGACAGAUGAAAACUUUAUCACCGGGCAGCCUGGAUGAACGCCACAACUUUGGACUCUUUCACAUAAAGGAAAGAUAAGAGCAUCCACUAUUUCUACACCUGGCUGGCAGAGUGAGAUCUCACCAAAGAUUUGUCACUUGGCUGACCUCCAAGCCUGCCCAUCAGCCAGAAAUCAAGAAGCCUGCAAGUCACAGCUGGAUCCAUUGGUGGAACAAAGCUCAGCUGCCAAUUUCAGAAGAGAAAGCACUUUCUGCUCAGGAGUCACAUUUAAUUAUGCAGAAUUUAUGUAUUUUAUUUUUUUGUAACUCUUGCAUAUUAAACCAUAAAUGUGAGCUAAUGAAAGAUAAUAUGUGUGAAACACCUAGCAGGGUUAGGCAGAGAGGAGACACAAAAUGAAAUCCAUCUUGUUUGUUCCUCUUGUA